Molecule: ribosomal RNA, 445 nt
Filed under: uncultured bacterium
Lineage: Bacteria
Description: bacterial SSU rRNA
Rfam family: Bacterial small subunit ribosomal RNA
Source: RNAcentral
ACCAGACUCCUACGGGAGGCAGCAGUGGGGAAUAUUGGACAAUGGGGGGAACCCUGAUCCAGCGACGACGCGUGAGUGAAGAAGUAUUUCGUUAUGUAAAGCUCUCUCAGCAGGGAAGAAAGUGACGGUACCUGAGUAAGAAGCCCCGGCUAACUACGUGCCAGCAGCCGCGGUAAUACGUAGGGGGCAAGCGUUAUCCGGAUUUACUGGGUGUAAAGGGAGCGUAGACGGCAGUGCAAGUCUGGAGUGAAAGGCGGGGGCUCAACCCCCGGACUGCUCUGGAAACUGUACGGCUGGAGUGCAGGAGAGGUAAGUGGAAUUCCUAGUGUAGCGGUGAAAUGCGUAGAUAUUAGGAGGAACACCAGUGGCGAAGGCGGCUUACUGGACUGUAACUGACGUUGAGGCUCGAAAGCGUGGGGAGCAAACAGGAUUAGAUCCCCGGGUA